AGAGUGAACGCUGGCGGUAGGCCUAACACAUGCAAGUCGAACGGCAGCACAUUGGUAGCAAUACCAUGGGUGGCGAGUGGCGGACGGGUGAGGAAUACAUCGGAAUCUACCUUUUCGUGGGGGAUAACGUAGGGAAACUUACGCUAAUACCGCAUACGCCCUUCGGGGGAAAGCCGGGGAUCGCAAGACCUGGCGCGGAUAGAUGAGCCGAUGUCGGAUUAGCUAGUUGGUGAGGUAACGGCCCACCAAGGCGACGAUCCGUAGCUGGUCUGAGAGGAUGAUCAGCCACACUGGAACUGAGACACGGUCCAGACUCCUACGGGAGCAGCAGUAGGGAAUAUGGACAAUGGGCGCAAGCCUGAUCCAGCCAUGCCGCGUGAGUGAAGAAGGCCUUCGGGUUAUAAAGCUUCUUUUGGUACCGGAAAAGAAAAGUC
RNAcentral lists this ribosomal RNA (434 nucleotides) under uncultured soil bacterium. RNAcentral describes it as "bacterial SSU rRNA". It matches the Rfam family "Bacterial small subunit ribosomal RNA", at positions 26 to 457 of the family's 1533-position model. The record is from RNAcentral.